AUUGAACGCUGGCGGCAGGCCUAACACAUGCAAGUCGAACGGUAACAGGAAGAAGCUUGCUUCUUUGCUGACGAGUGGCGGACGGGUGAGUAAUGUCUGGGAAACUGCCUGAUGGAGGGGGAUAACUACUGGAAACGGUAGCUAAUACCGCAUAACGUCGCAAGAGCAAAGAGGGGGACCUUCGGGCCUCUUGCCAUCGGCUGUGCCCAGAUGGGAUUAGCUAGUAGGUGGGGUAACGGCUCACCUAGGCGACGAUCCCUAGCUGGUCUGAGAGGAUGACCAGCCACACUGGAACUGAGACACGGUCCAGACUCCUACGGGAGGCAGCAGUGGGGAAUAUUGCACAAUGGGCGCAAGCCUGAUGCAGCCAUGCCGCGUGUAUGAAGAAGGCCUUCGGGUUGUAAAGUACUUUCAGCGGGGAGGAAGGGAGUAAAGUUAAUACCUUUGCUCAUUGACGUUACCCGCAGAAGAAGCACCGGCUAACUCCGUG
RNAcentral lists this ribosomal RNA (490 nucleotides) under uncultured bacterium. RNAcentral describes it as "partial 16S ribosomal RNA". It matches the Rfam family "Bacterial small subunit ribosomal RNA", at positions 30 to 507 of the family's 1533-position model. The record is from RNAcentral.